This 23-nucleotide non-coding RNA is filed under the name Rattus norvegicus (Norway rat). Lineage: Eukaryota; Metazoa; Chordata; Mammalia; Rodentia; Muridae. The record is from RNAcentral.
UUUUGACUGAGGAGCUCUUUGAU